UGAAAAGAUGGCCAUGUAUGGAGUGACAUAUGUUGUGGCCAUAGACAGCUAUAGUGGCAAGAUUGUGGCCAACUCCAUAAUGCCAGUGAAAAACAACCUGGUUAUCUAUGAUGUGUACAUCAAGUGUACAGGAAUGCUGUUGUGACCUAUGGUCUUUGGGACCAACUGAGGGUGGACCAUGGAGGUGAAUUUAACCUCUCGCUGUACAUGCAGGAAAAACUGUCAGGGUACAGGUUUCGGCAAGACAGGGCUCCAUAUCAGCAGACAGCAUCAACAAGGAACCACAGGAUUGAACGUGUGUGGCCUGAAGUGAAUAACAGAGUCACGUAUCCACUGAAGGCAGCCUUGGUUCACCUGGUGGACCAAGAGCUUUUAGAUAUGGAGGACACCACAGUCCGAUACUGUGUGUCCAACCUGACCUGUCAGGUUGCCGGCAUCGGACUCAAACGGUUCAUUGAAGCUUGGAACUGUCACACGGUUUCAGGUAUAUGAUCUGUUUCAACAGUCAUAUUCCC
Long non-coding RNA from Epinephelus fuscoguttatus (brown-marbled grouper), 515 nucleotides. RefSeq lists it as uncharacterized. The record is from RefSeq and is a predicted model, not a curated record. The transcript has 3 exons. Lineage: Eukaryota; Metazoa; Chordata; Actinopteri; Perciformes; Serranidae.